This 374-nucleotide ribosomal RNA is filed under the name uncultured archaeon. Its description in RNAcentral is "bacterial SSU rRNA". It matches the Rfam family "Archaeal small subunit ribosomal RNA", at positions 491 to 865 of the family's 1478-position model. The record is from RNAcentral.
GUCAGGACGAUUAUUGGGCCUAAAGCAUCCGUAGCUGGUUUUGCAAGUCUCCGGUUAAAUCCACCUGCUUAACAGAUGGGCCGCUGGAGAUACUACAAGACUAGGGAGUGGGAGAGGCAGACGGUAUUCGGGGGGUAGGGGUAAAAUCCUCUGAUCCUUUGAGGACCACCAGUGGCGAAGGCGGUCUGCCAGAACACGUUCGACAGUGAGGGAUGAAAGCUGGGGGAGCAAACCGGAUUAGAUACCCGGGUAGUCCCAGCUGUAAACGAUGCAGACUCGGUGAUGCAUUGGCUUCUUGCCAAUGCAGUGCCGCAGGGAAGCCGUUAAGUCUGCCGCCUGGGAAGUACGGUCGCAAGAUUGAAACUUAAAGGAAU